Molecule: unclassified non-coding RNA, 318 nt
Filed under: Phytopseudomonas seleniipraecipitans
Lineage: Bacteria; Pseudomonadati; Pseudomonadota; Gammaproteobacteria; Pseudomonadales; Pseudomonadaceae
Description: Pseudomonas seleniipraecipitans Long range pseudoknot
Source: RNAcentral
ACGGAAGAUGGGGAUUACCAGGUAAAACUGCGCAACCUGGUACGUUUCCUGAUGGAAGGGGACAAGGCCAAGAUCUCUCUGAGAUUCCGUGGUCGUGAGAUGGCCCACCAGGAGCUGGGUAUGGAACUGUUGAAGCGGGUUGAGGCUGACCUGAUUGAAUACGGUACCGUCGAACAGCAUCCUAAGAUGGAAGGACGCCAACUGAUGAUGGUCAUCGCUCCCAAACGCAAGAAGUAACCUCCAGGGCACGGCAGGCCUUAUGGUUAUCUAUAUCAACUGAAUGCGGAGUAUCCGAACAUGCCAAAGAUGAAAACCAAA